GACGAACGCUGGCGGCGCGCUUAACACAUGCAAGUCGUGCGGUACCGAUGGCAAGUCUUCAUGACGAGCCUUCGGUAUAGCGGCGGACGGGUGAGUAACACGUGAGUAGCUGUCCUAGGGAGGGGGAUAACGCCUGGAAACGGGUGCUAAAACCCCAUAAGCCUCGCAAGAGGUGAAAGUGUACUUGUUACAGCCUUAGGGUGUGCUCGCGGCCUAUCAGCUAGUUGGUGAGGUAAGGGCUCACCAAGGCUAAGACGGGUAGCCGGCCUGAGAGGGUGUACGGCCACACUGGAAUUGAGAUACGGUCCAGACUCCUACGGGAGGCAGCAGUGGGGAAUUUUGGGCAAUGGGCGAAAGCCUGACCCAGCGACGCCGCGUUGGGGAUGAAGUCCUUCGGGGCGUAAACCCAUGUUGUAGGGGAAGAAGAAAGUGACGGUACCCUACGAGAAAGCCCCGGCCAACUACGUGCCAGCAGCCGCGGUAAAACGUAGGGGGCGAGCGUUGUCCGGAAUUACUGGGCGUAAAGGGCAUGCAGGCGGUGCGCCAAGUCGGGGGUGUAAAGUUACGGCUCAACCGUGACCUUGCAAUCGAAACUGGCGCACUGGAGUGCGGGAGAGGGAAGUGGAAUUCCCGGUGUAGCGGUGAAAUGCGUAGAUAUCGGGAGGAACGCCAGUGGCGAAGGCGGCUUCCUGGCCCGCGACUGACGCUCAUGUGCGAAAGCCAGGGGAGCGAA
RNAcentral lists this ribosomal RNA (733 nucleotides) under uncultured bacterium. RNAcentral describes it as "bacterial SSU rRNA". It matches the Rfam family "Bacterial small subunit ribosomal RNA", at positions 28 to 772 of the family's 1533-position model. The record is from RNAcentral.